Molecule: ribosomal RNA, 397 nt
Filed under: Armitermes spininotus
Lineage: Eukaryota; Metazoa; Arthropoda; Insecta; Blattodea; Termitidae
Description: partial 16S ribosomal RNA
Source: RNAcentral
CAAAAACAUCUUUUCUUGUUAGUUUUUGAAGUAUGGCCUGCCCACUGACAUUUGAGUUGAAGGGCCGCGGUAUUUUGACCGUGCAAAGGUAGCAUAAUCAUUAGUUCUUUAAUUGUGAUCUGGUAUGAAUGGUUUGACGAGACGUUAGCUGUCUUAAGGGUAUUAGGCAUUGAAUUUAGUUUUUGAGUUAAAAUUCUUAAAUAUUUUUAUGGGACGAGAAGACCCUAUAGAGUUUUACAUUUAUCUUAUUUAUGUGGUUGUUUGUUUGUUUUAUUAAUUUAGUUAGGUGUUUUGUUGGGGUGAUGGGAGGAAUUUAUUUAACUCCUCUUUGUUGUUAGGGUAUAUUUAUUUAUAUUUAUUUGAUCCAUUUAUUUUGAUUAUAAAAUUAAAUUACCUU